Molecule: long non-coding RNA, 585 nt
Filed under: Homo sapiens (human)
Lineage: Eukaryota; Metazoa; Chordata; Mammalia; Primates; Hominidae
Description: non-protein coding lnc-HECA-3:14
Source: RNAcentral
CUCUGUAAACUUCAGCAUUGAUGAUGAACAUUAUUUCAAGGAAAUAUCCCACUACUUUAUCUCUGUAAAGACAUCCAUAGAGAAUGGGCCUUUUAGAAAAUCUCACACCACUUCCUAGUUGGAGCAAUUAAACAAUAGAGAAGAUGGGUAUUCUGGAGCAGAAUUUAAUGAAACAGAACUCCACCAUCUAUGGCAAGUUUGACUGCUUGAGUCUCCAGAGGAUAAUAGUUGGAGGCCACUGAGGCCCAAAUUCAUCAGUCCGGCCAUUGAAGGACACAAGUGAACAAAGGAGGACGGCAAAGACAGAACUGUGAUAUUCAAACACUCAAUAGCUCACAGUGUCGGGGUUCAUUAUGACACUUACUAAGCACAUGCCAUAUUUCUGACACUGUGCUAAGAGUUUCAUGAACAUUAACUAAAUUAACCCCAUAAAAACGCCAUUAGAAAGAUGCAGUUUUGUACCCCCUUACACAGAUGAAGAAAAUAAAGUAUAGAGACUUUAAGAAAUUUGCCAGAAGUCUUAUAACUGGUGAGUAAACUUUAGCUACUUGAUCAGACCUCAACCAGGCGAUCAGAACCCAGAAC